GGAUUAGAUACCCUGGUAGUCCAUGCCGUAAACGAUGUGUGUUAGACGUUGGAAAUUUACUUUCAGUGUCGCAGUGAAAACGAUAAACACACCGCCUGGGGAGUACGACCGCAAGGUUAAAACUCAAAUGAAUUGACGGGGGCCCGCACAAGCGGUGGAGCAUGUGGUUUAAUUCGAAGCAACGCGCAGAACCUUACCAACACUUGACAUGUUCGUCGCGACUCUAAGAGAUUAGAGUUUUCGGUUCGGCCGGACGAAACACAGGUGCUGCAUGGCUGUCGUCAGCUCGUGCCG
Molecule: ribosomal RNA, 294 nt
Filed under: uncultured bacterium
Lineage: Bacteria
Description: partial 16S ribosomal RNA
Rfam family: Bacterial small subunit ribosomal RNA
Source: RNAcentral